Long non-coding RNA from Rosa chinensis, 1372 nucleotides. RefSeq lists it as uncharacterized. The record is from RefSeq and is a predicted model, not a curated record. NCBI's taxonomy places the organism in Eukaryota, Viridiplantae, Streptophyta, Magnoliopsida, Rosales, Rosaceae. The transcript is spliced from 4 exons.
UUGCUUUUAUGUAAGUAGUGAUGGUGGAGUUCUAAAAGUAACCAAGAGCAAUCAGCUCUCUCUCUCUCUCGUCCGAAGACACGAAACCAAGAGCAAAAAACUCACCGAUCAUUUCCUUCCUCCACCAGCCAUCAACCGACGCCAAAUAACCUUCUGUGGCUUCGUCUUAGCCUUGCGAAGCUGCCUGCGGCGGUCUUGGGUCACAGCACAGCCGGAAACGGCGGUGAGGAGUCGGGUUUGUCCAGGCCCGAAUUGGAAUCCAAUCAUGGUGGUUCGAGCUACCGAUCACGAGACCUUCUCAAACUCCAUCCACAGGUUCGAAUCAACCUCCUGAAGCUCCCAGAAGCAACCUUGCACGGCGGCACGGCCCGUAGCAGCAGCUGCAAGGCAACCCCACGGAACCGGAAUUAUCGAUUCAAAUAUCUCGAGCUACAGGAUGUCGUUUUUCAUGUUCCUUGGACUGGUGAACUCAGAGUGAGGAGCUGAAAAACUUUCUAGAAGGGAUCGAGGCCUGAGGUUGAAGUUUCUACGUUGAAAACUCAAGCCCGCCGGAUUCUGGAAUUUUUCCGGCCACCGAAACCUUCGAUCAGAAGGAACAGAGGCCAAAAGAUGAAUUUUUUACGUGGCAAAAUCGGUUGGACGGUUUCUGCAAUUUCGCCGGUUUCUGGAAAUUUUCCGGCCAUCACGGACUGUUUUAGGUGUUUGACGGUUUGAUUUGGCGGACGAAUUGUGAUUCUUAUUCGAGUUAUAAGAAGACGCAGCGGGAUUAGAGCGGGAAAUCCUACAGGUCAGGAGAAUCGAGAAGGUGAUCAGGCUGCUUAGAGUAGUGGUAUUUGAGUUACAGCAUAAUUGUGAGUUUCGUUAUGUUCAUUUCGAACUUAUCAAUUUGGAAUUUGUGAUAGUGUGUUGUAAUAAGAAAUUGAGGAGUUGGGUAAUGUAAUAUUGAGUGGUGUGAGGCGUGUUACUCUGAAAGAAAAAUUUAGAUUGGUAUUUGUAUUUGUAAUUAUUCAUGUUUCGGAUUUGAAUUGGUUAUUCAAAAUUUGGGGCGUGACACGACUGAUUAGAAGUCCGAUCAGCGCAAACUCUAUAACCUAGAUCAAAACCUCGCUCGGCCUCUCGACCCUGAGUUGGUACGCCCGCGCACACGUUACCAAGCCAAAAAGACACGUGUAAGCUAAGAAGACCUCAGCCGAGUGACACGUGGCCGAGACGAUUUUUGAGCGAACUUCUUUUGGCACGCCCAGUGGGACAACAUUUGGGGAAUAUUAUUAGACCAUUUAGUGAGACAUUAAAUAUGAUGUAUUUUCACAAAUGAGUUAUUAUGAGCCGAAUUUACACGGCUCUAUUUCAAUAAAUAAUUACAAUAGCCAAU